UUGUGUGCAGACCUGGAUAUCCUGGUCCUGGGUUAAUGUUUAACACAAAUUGGAGCGCUGCGGAUGUAGCUCAGCGGCCAGUGCCUGCCUGGCAAGUGCGAGGCCCUGAGUUCGAUUCCUGACACCAAAAAAGAAAAAACAAAAGACCAAAAUAAAAGCCCCUUAGAAGAGAAGGAUGGCUGGAGCCAGGCAGAGAAAACUUCAGCAAAGAAGGCUGAUGAGAAGACCUCAAGUGUACGCUAGGAAACUUCCGCCCCCAGUGGACUCCGAUGGCCUCGCUCCUGCAGGGUCAGGCUGUGGAGCCAGGAGGGAACCAUCACUGACCUCCGUGAGCACAAGAGUGAAUGAAUGAGCCAGAUGUGGUGGCGCACGCCUGUAAU
Chinchilla lanigera (long-tailed chinchilla) is the source of this 380-nucleotide long non-coding RNA. RefSeq lists it as uncharacterized. NCBI's taxonomy places the organism in Eukaryota, Metazoa, Chordata, Mammalia, Rodentia, Chinchillidae. The transcript is spliced from 3 exons. The record is from RefSeq and is a predicted model, not a curated record.